UGGGGAAUAUUGGGCAAUGGGCGCAAGCCUGACCCAGCAACGCCGCGUGAAGGAAGAAGGCCCUCGGGUUGUAAACUUCUUUUAUCAGGGACGAAGAAGUGACGGUACCUGAUGAAUAAGCCACGGCUAACUACGUGCC
Molecule: ribosomal RNA, 139 nt
Filed under: uncultured bacterium
Lineage: Bacteria
Description: partial 16S ribosomal RNA
Rfam family: Bacterial small subunit ribosomal RNA
Source: RNAcentral